RNAcentral lists this ribosomal RNA (372 nucleotides) under Escherichia coli. RNAcentral's name for it is "partial 23S ribosomal RNA". It matches the Rfam family "Bacterial large subunit ribosomal RNA", at positions 1 to 402 of the family's 2925-position model. Lineage: Bacteria; Pseudomonadati; Pseudomonadota; Gammaproteobacteria; Enterobacterales; Enterobacteriaceae. The record is from RNAcentral.
GGGUUGUGAGGUUAAGCGACUAAGCGUACACGGUGGAUGCCCUGGCAGUCAGAGGCGAUGAAGGACGUGCUAAUCUGCGAUAAGCGUCGGUAAGGUGAUAUGAACCGUUAUAACCGGCGAUUUCCGAAUGGGGAAACCCAGUGUGAUUCGUCACACUAUCAUUAACUGAAUCCAUAGGUUAAUGAGGCGAACCGGGGGAACUGAAACAUCUAAGUACCCCGAGGAAAAGAAAUCAACCGAGAUUCCCCCAGUAGCGGCGAGCGAACGGGGAGGAGCCCAGAGCCUGAAUCAGUGUGUGUGUUAGUGGAAGCGUCUGGAAAGGCGCGCGAUACAGGGUGACAGCCCCGUACACAAAAAUGCACAUGCUGUGAG